CUCCUCUGGGGCUGGUGUUCCAUCUACUCAGACACCUAGCUGCCCCUUUUAGGUGCUAUUUUGAUCCCUAUUUACAGUUGUGGAAACAGAGGCAGAGAGAGGUUAAGUGAUUUGCCCAGGUCUGAUUCCUAAGAAGUGUCUACAGCUGGAUUUAAACUUAGGUCUUCCUGUCUCUACCACCUGGCUGGCUCUAUUAGCUGUGUGACUCUUAACCACCAGCAGUGCCAGAAAACCCUCUUCUUCCCUGUUCCAGGCUCCUACUUGGGUCUCAGGAUCAUAGAUCUGGAGCUAGAAGGAGCCUUACAAGGCAACUAGCCCACUUGCCUCAUUUCACCAAUAACAAAAGUGAGGCUGAGGAACGGAGAGUGAUGUCCACAGUCACAGAGUAACUGCAUGGCGUCAAUGGAGGUGUCCUUUCUGAUCGGGAUCCUGGGAGGUUCUGUUCUGAUACAUCCAAACUCAGAAAUAGGAAAUGACACCUCAAGGAUUAGUUGGUAUCAUCAUUCACUUGAAGAGAAUCUGCACCUACUCACCAGCAGGCCAGGGGAGAGCAGUCCAAGCUGGAUCAUUCCCCAGAAGGAAUAUGAGAGGAGGCUGUCAACCCCUGAUGGGAAGUCUCUGGAGAUCCUGAAUCUGACCCUGGAAGACUGUGGGCUUUAUGUGGCUGAAAUCACAUCAGUCUCAGGAGUGUUCCAGACUGAAAAGUUCAAUUUAACCAUCUCUGUUUUAGGCCCUGAGACUACAGAUUCUAACAAGGAUCCAUGGAUUUGGGAGGUUCCCCUGCUUGUCAUAGUCCCGAUAAUGUUGGUGAUCAUUGUGGGGGCAGUUUUUUACUAUAUUAAGAAAGGCUGCUAUUACAAAAAUCAAGUGGACAGCAGUGGUGAAGAACCAGUGGAACGACUGACCGAUGUAGAGAUGGGUUCUCUGUUAGGCCAUAAAAUACAGACUGAGGAUGAUCCGUAAAG
Molecule: long non-coding RNA, 965 nt
Filed under: Monodelphis domestica (gray short-tailed opossum)
Lineage: Eukaryota; Metazoa; Chordata; Mammalia; Didelphimorphia; Didelphidae
Description: lncRNA (ENSMODG00000040585.1)
Source: RNAcentral